GGAGACGGCCAGGCGAUCGCCGGACCAUUCGUGGUUCGGAGGAAAGUCCGGGCUCCACAGGACAGAGCGCCAGGUAACACCUGGGGAGUGCGAACUCACGGAAAGUGCAACAGAAAAUACACCGCUGCACCUCGUUAUUAGGAGCGGUAAGGGUGAAAUGGUGCGGUAAGAGCGCACCGCGAGAUCUGGCAACAGAAUCGGCUAGGUAAACCCCGCUCGGAGCAAGACCAAAUAGGAAUUGAAACACGUGGUCCGCGUGCAAUUCGGGUAGGUUGCUAGAGGCGCAUGGUGACAUGCGUCCUAGAUGAAUGAUCGCCCUCGACAGAACCCGGCUUAUCGGCCGUCUCCCUCG
Molecule: RNase P RNA, 352 nt
Filed under: Gammaproteobacteria bacterium
Lineage: Bacteria; Pseudomonadati; Pseudomonadota; Gammaproteobacteria
Description: RNase P RNA component class A
Rfam family: Bacterial RNase P class A
About the family: Ribonuclease P (RNase P) is a ubiquitous endoribonuclease, found in archaea, bacteria and eukarya as well as chloroplasts and mitochondria. Its best characterised activity is the generation of mature 5'-ends of tRNAs by cleaving the 5'-leader elements of precursor-tRNAs.
Source: RNAcentral